GGGAGCAUGACUCAGCGGUAGAGUGUGUGCCUUACAAGCACGAAGUCGGGAGUUCAAUCCUCUCUGCUCUCA
This 72-nucleotide transfer RNA is filed under the name Analipus japonicus. RNAcentral's name for it is "tRNA-Val". It matches the Rfam family "tRNA". Rfam says of the family: Transfer RNA (tRNA) molecules are approximately 80 nucleotides in length. The record is from RNAcentral. Lineage: Eukaryota; Phaeophyceae; Ralfsiales; Ralfsiaceae.